Entelurus aequoreus (snake pipefish) is the source of this 298-nucleotide long non-coding RNA. RefSeq lists it as uncharacterized. The transcript has 3 exons. NCBI's taxonomy places the organism in Eukaryota, Metazoa, Chordata, Actinopteri, Syngnathiformes, Syngnathidae. The record is from RefSeq and is a predicted model, not a curated record.
AGGAGCGGGACAGAGAAGGAACGUAUCCUCUAUUCCAGCUGGUCUCUCAUCUGCAGAAAAAUUCAAUCUUUGAAGCUGCAGAGAACCUGGUCAAUGUUUCUGGCAUGGAGAAAGCCGUUUCCUCUCACCACCACCUGAAAGCUCUCUGUAAGACAAACAAGUAGAUGCACAUGCGCAGCAAUAGAUGAAAUACACAAUAAGGAAUCGCCUGACCCUCAUUCUUCAUUUACCAAGAGGACGACUUUCUGAUUGUUGAACAUUGUGGACAAAAGCCUGACUUUUUAUGAACAAUUUGGUA